UGGGACUAAAACUAUUUUAGAUUGAAGCGCUCUCUCUCUCUCUCUCUCUCUCUCUCCAGUCUCUGAUCCCUCAGAGCAAACGAAGUGGUUGCUGCGAAACCCUAGCCGCAAACAGAGGAUAAAAAGCAAAGCAAUUGCUGCGAAACCCCCAAAAUUUUCAGAAAAAAAGAAGAAGAAGAGGGGUUUCGUGAUCUGCACAAAAUCAUAAAAAAAAGAGACAAAACAGUGUGGAAAUAGAAUUUUUCAUAAUAAACAGAGACUAGAUCACACUCUUCAUCACAUCGUUUUCAUCAUUUUAAUGGGUUGAGACUCGAAAGGGCUGGGAGACAUGCCCCCUCAGUCUUCAGGUUGUUUACUUGAAAGUUUUGAUGGCAUGAGUGGAGUCGGAAAAAA
Molecule: non-coding RNA, 393 nt
Organism: Camellia sinensis
Lineage: Eukaryota; Viridiplantae; Streptophyta; Magnoliopsida; Ericales; Theaceae
Source: RefSeq, a predicted model, not a curated record